AACGCGAAGAACCUUACCUACCCUUGACAUCCUGCGGAUUUAGCUGAGAGGCUGAAGUGCCGAAAGGAACGCAGAGACAGGUGCUGCAUGGCUGUCGUCAGCUCGUGUUGUGAGAUGUUGGGUUAAGUCCCGUAACGAGCGCAACCCUUGUCCUUAGUUGCCAUCAUUUAGUUGGGGACUCUAAGGAGACUGCCGGUGAAGAAUCGGAGGAAGGCGGGGACGACGUCAAGUCAUCAUGGCCUUUAUGGGUAGGGCUACACACGUGCUACAAUGGGACGUACAGAGAGUCGCGAACCUGCGAAGGGGAGCCAAUCUCGUAAAGCGUCUCGUAGUCCGGAUUGGAGUCUGCAACUCGACUCCAUGAAGUUGGAAUCGCUAGUAAUCGCGAAUCAGCAUUGUCGCGGUGAAUACGUUCCCGGGCCUUGUA
RNAcentral lists this ribosomal RNA (427 nucleotides) under uncultured Gammaproteobacteria bacterium. RNAcentral describes it as "bacterial SSU rRNA". It matches the Rfam family "Bacterial small subunit ribosomal RNA", at positions 958 to 1385 of the family's 1533-position model. Lineage: Bacteria; Pseudomonadati; Pseudomonadota; Gammaproteobacteria. The record is from RNAcentral.